Molecule: long non-coding RNA, 1744 nt
Filed under: Olea europaea subsp. europaea
Lineage: Eukaryota; Viridiplantae; Streptophyta; Magnoliopsida; Lamiales; Oleaceae
Source: RNAcentral
AUUUAGCCUUCAUUUGGUAAGAAUUUAUAAAUAGAUAAAAAUGAAUGAUGUAUAAGUGAACAGUAGAUGUAUAUUUAUUUAUAAGUAGUUUGCUAAUUAUAAAAUGAUUUUUAAGUUUUUUUCUUCUACCAUUCCAAUUUCCAACCUAAACUCUCAUUAUCCCUAAAACGUGGUAUUGAUCAAAAAAAUUUUGAAAGACGACAAACAUUUACAGUAUUAUAAAUGUUUGGUAAUAUGUCCGCCUGUAUGAAAAGAUUUGGAAACUUCCAGAAAACACAGGUCAAAUCUGUAUAAUAAACAUCUGCCAAAUUGUUACCUCAAGUUCAGUUUUAUCUUCCAAUAGGGAGAGAGAGAGAGAGAUGAUAAAGUUUGGUAUGAUGGUGGAAUUAUUGGAAGAAUACAUUUUGGUAAUGGCAAGAAUGAGAGAUGAAUUGCUUGCUUCAAGGCGAAUGUUUUUUCAGUUUCUGAGAACUCUUCCUUCUGCUUCAACUUCAUCCUCCAUUGAAGAUUCUUCUUCAUUUCUUGUCUAUUUCUAGUACACGUUUCCUUCGUAAAUCUCUCGUUUGGUCAUGCUUAAAAGCAACUUUUCUAUAAAUGAUUCCGAGAAAAGUCACUUAAAAGCUGCUUUUAAGAUUGCAAUAGAUGUUGUGUAAUUUCAGAUUGUUUUGUUUCUUUCCUUCAAUUUGAUUCAAUUGGGGAGACAAAAGGAAAACUUACCUUUUCUUGUAUACGUUUUGAAGAUUCAAUUUUCAACCAUUUGUUGGUUCAGAUGAUUGAAUUUAAUUCAAUAAAUUUUGUUUUAUAUUUUUAUGUUGUAAUAAUAUUAUGGGAGUAUUUGAGCCACAUUAUUUUGGUAAUAAUGCAUUCUUGAAUAGUGUAUUGAUGAGAAAUAUGUUGCUAAAAAAUAAAGAAUAUUUUUUGAUUUGCGUGUAAUAUUAUUUUAUUGAAAAAUGUGUGAUUGAAAUGAUGUCAAAUCACUGUUUAAGAAUACAUUUUUUUGAAAUAAUGUGGCUCAACAAGCCCUAUGAGAGGGAUGGACGAGUAUUUCCAACAAUGCUGCAAAUAUGGUGUUUUAGGGCCUGUUUCGCAAAAUUUCUGCUUUUUCUUCUUGUAGAAGAGAAGGUCUUCUAGCGAGACAAUUCUUUCUAGAAAUUAUUCAAUCAUGUUCAAAAUAGCAAUCAAAAGCUCUACCAAAUGUAGCGUUAAUAUACUACUAGGAAGAGUCCCCCAGGGCACAUCCAAGUUGGCGGAACAAUCACAUUGGGGGGCUCUGGAACCAAGCGUGGGGAGUUCGAUUCCUGGUUGGAGCAGCUGAGUGUUGUAAUAGCCAGAGGAAGGGUUAGAGCAGUUUGGUGAUGUAAUAACCAUGGAGGAGGCUCCCUUUGGGGAAGAAGUAAAAGCCAUGUGGGAACCUGGGAACCAACAAGGGCACAACCUGCGAUUUACCUCCCUGAGCAGCUGAGAGGCCGGAGGUUCGGGGACGAGGAUAUAGUCUGGCGCAAGUUGGGACACCUCGUUAAAAAAAAAAAAAAUACUACUAGGAAGUGUAGUGUAGUAUUUGUUUUAAUAUAGUGUUGAUCAAAUUUUGUCAUAUGGUUUAGUAAGAAAUUUAUUCCGGGGUAUCUUAGAUUUCCAUUAUCGACUCAAAUAUAAUUUUAGUAAAACACGUUAGAAAGGAGAAAAUUAUAUCAAAAUUAAAAGAACAAAGAAUGCAAUGUUGAUUCUCUCCGAAUGCUCAAAUAAC